GCGCCCUUAGCUCAGUUGGAUAGAGCCGCGGACUUCUAAUCCGAAGGUCGGGGGUUCGAAUCCCUCAGGGCGCACCA
Molecule: transfer RNA, 77 nt
Filed under: Olsenella uli
Lineage: Bacteria; Bacillati; Actinomycetota; Coriobacteriia; Coriobacteriales; Atopobiaceae
Also listed under: 11 other names
Description: tRNA-Arg
Rfam family: tRNA
About the family: Transfer RNA (tRNA) molecules are approximately 80 nucleotides in length. Their secondary structure includes four short double-helical elements and three loops (D, anti-codon, and T loops).
Source: RNAcentral